GAUGAACGCUGGCGGCGUGCUUAACACAUGCAAGUCGAGCGAGAAGUUUUGAACAGAUUCUUCGGAUGAAAUUUAAAAUGGAAAGCGGCGGACGGGUGAGUAACGCGUAGGCAACCUGCCCCAUACAAAGGGAUAGCAUUUGGAAACGAAUAUUAAUACCUUAUGAAACUUAACUAGUGCAUGCUAGGUAGGUCAAAGAUUUAUCGGUAUGGGAUGGGCCUGCGUCUGAUUAGCUAGUUGGUGAGGUAACGGCUCACCAAGGCGACGAUCAGUAGCCGACCUGAGAGGGUGAACGGCCACAUUGGAACUGAGACACGGUCCAAACUCCUACGGGAGGCAGCAGUGGGGAAUAUUGCACAAUGGGGGAAACCCUGAUGCAGCAACGCCGCGUGAACGAUGAAGGCCUUUGGGUCGUAAAGUUCUGUUCUAGGUGAUGAAAACUGACAGUAGCCUAGGAGAAAGCCCCGGCUAACUCCGUG
RNAcentral lists this ribosomal RNA (479 nucleotides) under uncultured bacterium. RNAcentral's name for it is "partial 16S ribosomal RNA". It matches the Rfam family "Bacterial small subunit ribosomal RNA", at positions 28 to 507 of the family's 1533-position model. The record is from RNAcentral.